AUGAUAUUUACUUGUUUGUUAAAUGCUCUGUACAUUUCAUAAAUUUUUUAGGUUAAAAAAAGUAUUUUUCAUUAAGGUGCAUUCUACUCUUCCGUUGUUGCGCAGAAAGCUUAGUAGAUAUAGUUUGGUAAUCAGCACUCUGAAGAGAAGAAGGCAUUGUAGAGGAGGGAAAGGCAUUGCUAUUUCGAGUUUGUGGUGCUGCAUUCUUUGUGAGGCGACUCCCAUCAGAAUCAGAGAUUUGUGCACUCUUUUCCUGUGAUAUUUGGGUUCAUUGAUGUUCUUGUUUUUUAUCCCUGUUUUCUAAACACCCAGAAUGCUCAACAUCUGCAUUAGAGCAAAUUCAAUUUUCCCAAAAUUCGCCUGUGAAGUUUCUCCCCAUUUUCUUAGCACUGCAGAUGCAAAUCUAUUAAAGGUGGUACACUUUUUAUGUUCCACUAAUAGUUUUGUUAGUGAACAGUACUACAAACAUUUUUUUGUGAACCCAACCAAGCUGCAAAAAUUGAUUUUGAGUGAACCUGAACUGACUCUCAUGAUUUGGAUGAGAGCAGACUUGAAAAAUUUACUGUUUGAAGGGCAGGGAUACAAAACCCUUGUAAAAUCAAGAGACAAUUCCACCAUUUCGACAACCCCUACAACUCAACUGUAUCAGUUGCCAUUGUUGUGCCCAGAGGAUGUGUUGUCACUUCUCUGUUUUUGGGCUUUUGUACAACCACCAAUCCCAAUUCUCAGGCACUGUAGAUGCAAAUAUGGUGAAGGAGAAAGCUCUGUAGCUACAGCUCGGUAAUCAACACUCUGAAGAGAAGAAGGCAUUGUAGUGGAGGGAAAGGCAUUGCAAUUUCGACUUUGUAGUGCUGCAUUCUUUGCGAGGCGACUUCCAUCAGAAUCAGAGGUUGGUAAAAGAGAAGCUGAAAACAAUCAAAAGCGGGUUCAACUACUUGACAGCUCAAAAUACUAUUCACAUACGUAUAAUUUUCAAAACAACAUCGAUCUUAUUUUUGUUUUGUAAAUAACUAGUUAACUGUCUUUCACAACAAACAUUCAAUAUUAUUCUUACUAUUUGUCUCUUCA
Cryptomeria japonica (Japanese cedar) is the source of this 1068-nucleotide RNA transcript. RefSeq lists it as uncharacterized. The record is from RefSeq and is a predicted model, not a curated record. NCBI's taxonomy places the organism in Eukaryota, Viridiplantae, Streptophyta, Pinopsida, Cupressales, Cupressaceae. The transcript has 3 exons.